AGAGUUUGAUCCUGGCUCAGGAUGAACGCUAGCGGCAUGCUUAACACGUGCAAGUCGAAGGGUACCAGGGAAGAGCUUGCUCUUCUGCUGACGACUGGCGCACGGGUGAGUAACACGUAUGCAACCUGCCCUCCACAGGGGGACAACCUUCCGAAAAGGAGGCUAAUCCCGCGUAAAUCAUCGCGGAGGCAUCUCCGGGUGAGGAAAGACACGUCGGUGGAAGAUGGGCAUGCGGCACAUUACCUUGUCUGCGGGGUAACGGCCCACCGAGGCUACGAUGCGUAGGGGUUCUGAGAGGAAGGUCCCCCACACUGGUACUGAGACACGGACCAGACUCCUACGGGAGGCACCAGUGAGGAAUAUUGGUCAAUGGGCGGGAGCCUGAACCAACCAAGCCGCGUGAAGGAACAACGCGCUAAACGUCGUAUACUUCUUUUGCCGGGGAACAAAACCCGUCACACAUGGCGGUCCGAUUGUACCCAGAGAAAAACCAUCGGCUAACUCCGUGCCACCAUCCGCGGUAAUACGGAGGAUGCGACCGUAAUCCGGAUUUAUUGGGUUUAAAGGGUGCGUACGCGGUCUGUUAAGUCAGCGGUAAAAGCCCGGGGCCUCAACUCCGGCGAUCCGCUGAAACUGGCGGACUAGAGAAGGCGAGAAGUACCCGUAAUGCUCAGUGUAACGGUGAAAUGCAUAGAUAUUGCGCAGAACUCCGAUUGCGAAGCCAGCGUACCGGCGCCUGACUGACGCUGAGGCACGAAAGCGUGGGUAUCGAACAGGCUUAGAUACUCUGUUAGUCCACGCAGUAAACGAUGAAUGCCGGCUGUUCGGGUCAACUGUGACCUGAGUGGCGAAGCGAACGCGAUAAGCAUUCCAUGUGGGGAGUACUCCGGCGACGGUGACACUCAAAGGAAUUGACGGGGGCCCGCACAAGCGGAGGCACAUGUGGUAUAAUUCGAUGAUACGCGAGGCACCUUACCUGGGCUCAUACGGGAGCGGAAUGGCGGAGAGACCCGUCAGUCUACGGACCGCUUCCGAGGUGCUGCAUGGUUGUCGUCAGCUCGUGCCGUGAGGAGUCGGCUUAAGUGCCAUAACGAGCGCAACCCCUGCCGACUGUUGCUAACGAGUCAUGUCGAGGACUCAGUCGGGACUGCCGGCGCAAGCCGCGAGGAAGGCGGGGAUGACGUCAAAUCAGCACGGCCCUUACGUCCGGGGCGACACACGUGUUACAAUGGGCGGCACAGAGGGAAGCCAGGUGGCGACACCGCGCGGAACCCGAAAACCGUUUUCAGUUCGGAAAAGUGUUUGCCGCCUGAAUCAGUGAAGCUGGAUUUGGUAGUAAUUGCGCAUCAGCCAUGGCGCGGUGAAUAAUUUCCCGGGGCGCUUGUACACACCGCCCGU
This 1398-nucleotide ribosomal RNA is filed under the name uncultured bacterium. RNAcentral describes it as "16S ribosomal RNA". It matches the Rfam family "Bacterial small subunit ribosomal RNA". The record is from RNAcentral.